GCGCUCGGUUUGGCAGCACAUAUACUAAAACUGGAAUGAUACAGAGAAGAUUAGCAUGGCCCCUGCACAAGGAUGACACACAAAUUUGUGAAAAUUAUUUUCUUCUC
This 107-nucleotide small nuclear RNA is filed under the name Ursus americanus (American black bear). The record is from RNAcentral. Lineage: Eukaryota; Metazoa; Chordata; Mammalia; Carnivora; Ursidae.